CAUGUUGCCUGCUCCGUAUUUGGCACUAGCACAUUUUGCUUUUUUGAUAACAUGCGGCAACUUUUGCUAGUGGCAAAGACGGCGUAGGUUGACGAGCGACCAGGA
Molecule: microRNA precursor, 105 nt
Filed under: Patiria miniata (bat star)
Lineage: Eukaryota; Metazoa; Echinodermata; Asteroidea; Valvatida; Asterinidae
Description: microRNA pmi-mir-96 precursor
Gene: pmi-mir-96
Source: miRBase by way of RNAcentral